AAGCUUUAGAAAAAGUUUCUUGUUUUACUUUCAAGGUAAAUAUUUUGUAUAAAUUAUAAAGCU
Molecule: transfer RNA, 63 nt
Filed under: Diaphorina citri (Asian citrus psyllid)
Lineage: Eukaryota; Metazoa; Arthropoda; Insecta; Hemiptera; Psyllidae
Description: tRNA-Ser
Source: RNAcentral